Molecule: ribosomal RNA, 254 nt
Filed under: uncultured bacterium
Lineage: Bacteria
Description: partial 16S ribosomal RNA
Rfam family: Bacterial small subunit ribosomal RNA
Source: RNAcentral
UACGUAGGGGGCAAGCGUUGUCCGGAUUUAUUGGGCGUAAAGAGCUCGUAGGCGGUUUGGUAAGUCAGGCGUGAAAUCUCCACGCUCAACGUGGAGGGGCCACCUGAUACUGCCAUGACUGGAGUCCGGUAGAGGAGUGUGGAAUUCCCGGUGUAGCGGUGAAAUGCGUAGAUAUCCGGAGGAACACCGGUGGCGAAGGCGGCUUCCUGGACCGACACUGACGCUGAGGCGCGAAAGCUAGGGGAGCAAACGGG